This 292-nucleotide ribosomal RNA is filed under the name uncultured Bacteroidota bacterium. Its description in RNAcentral is "uncultured Bacteroidetes bacterium partial 16S ribosomal RNA". Lineage: Bacteria; Pseudomonadati; Bacteroidota. The record is from RNAcentral.
GGACUACUCGGGUUUCUAAUCCUGUUUGAUCCCCACGCUUUCGUGCCUCAGCGUCAAUAACGGCUUAGUAGACUGCCUUCGCAAUUGGUGUUCUGUGACAUAUCUAAGCAUUUCACCGCUACAUGUCACGUUCCAUCUACCUCAACCGUAUUCGAGACGAAUAGUAUCAAUGGCAUUUCUCCCGUUAAGCGGGAGGCUUUCACCACUGACUUAAACGUCCGCCUACGCACCCUUUAAACCCAGUAAAUCCGGAUAACGCUUGCACCCUCCGUAUUACCGCGGCUGCUGGCAC